Molecule: ribosomal RNA, 468 nt
Filed under: uncultured bacterium
Lineage: Bacteria
Description: partial 16S ribosomal RNA
Rfam family: Bacterial small subunit ribosomal RNA
Source: RNAcentral
GACGAACGCUGGCGGCGUGCUUAACACAUGCAAGUCGAACGGAAAGGCCCUGCUCUUGUGGGGUGCUCGAGUGGCGAACGGGUGAGUAACACGUGAGUAACCUGCCCUUGACUUUGGGAGAACUUCAGGAGACUGGGGCUAAUACCGGAUAGGAGAUCCUGCUGCAUGGUGGGGGUUGGAAAGUUUCGGCGGUUGGGGAUGGACUCGCGGCUUACCAGCUUGUUGGUGGGGUAGGGGGUGACCAAGGCUUUGACGGGUAGCCGGCCUGAGAGGGUGACCGGCCACACUGGGCCUGAGAGACGGCCCAGACGCCUACGUGAGGCAGCAGGGGGAAAGCUUGCACAAUGGGCGCAAGCCUGAUGCAGCAACGCCGCGUGCGGGAUAACGGCCUUCUUGUUGAAAACCGCUUUCGCCUGAAACGAAGCGUGAUUGACGGUAAUGGAUAAAAAAGCCCCGGCUAACUACGUG